UACAGAGGUCUCAAGCGUUGUUCGGAUUCAUUGGGCGUAAAGAGCGUGUAGGCGGCCCGGUAAGUCCGCUGUGAAAGUCGGGGGCUCAACCCUCGAAUGCCGGUGGAUACUGUCGGGCUAGAGUGCGGAAGAGGCGAGUGGAAUUCCUGGUGUAGCGGUGAAAUGCGCAGAUAUCAGGAGGAACACCAAUAGCGAAGGCAGCUCGCUGGGACGGUACUGACGCUAAGGCGCGAAAGCGUGGGGAGCGAACAGG
RNAcentral lists this ribosomal RNA (253 nucleotides) under uncultured bacterium. Its description in RNAcentral is "partial 16S ribosomal RNA". It matches the Rfam family "Bacterial small subunit ribosomal RNA", at positions 524 to 776 of the family's 1533-position model. The record is from RNAcentral.